Callithrix jacchus (white-tufted-ear marmoset) is the source of this 4736-nucleotide non-coding RNA. The record is from RefSeq and is a predicted model, not a curated record. NCBI's taxonomy places the organism in Eukaryota, Metazoa, Chordata, Mammalia, Primates, Cebidae.
CUGACCUCAGGUGAUCCACCCACCUCGGCCUCCCAAAGUGCUAGAAUUACAGGUGUGAGCCACUGCAUCCAGCUGAAAAUACAGACUUUUAAAUAGGAGUCUAUUAACAGACUUCCAUUGGAAAUAUAAAUUGAAACCAGGUAUGGCUUAGCUACCUUAACAUGUACUAUGGUUUUGGAUUUAAGUCACCUAUUCAUUAGACAUUUAUUUUUGAUUCUGUGUCAGGACAAUACUUUCUUUCUUUUUUUUUGAAAAAUGCUCCUUUUUAAAUUAUACUUUCAAUUCUGGGGUACAUGUGCAAAACGUGCAGGUUUGUUACAUAGGUAUACACAUGCCAUAGUGGUUUGCUGCACCCAUCAACCCAUCAUCUACACUAGGUAUCUAUUUCUCCUAAUGCUAUCCCUCCCAGGCAUAUAUAUAUUUUUUUCUUUUGAGAGGGAGUUUUGCUUUUGUUGCCCAGGCUGGAGUGCAAUGGUGCCUCUUGGCUCACUGCAAUUCCCACCUCUUGGGUUCAAGCAAUUCCCCUGCCUCAGCCUCCCAAGUAGCUGGGAUUACAGGCAUGCGCCACCACACCCGGCUAAUUUUGUGCUUUUUUAGUAGAGACAGAGUUUCUUCAUGUUGGUCAGGCUGGUCUCAAACUCCCCACCUCAGGUAAUCCACCCGCCUCAGCCUCCCAAAGUGUUGGGAUUACAGGAAUACUUUUCUUUUACAUAUGGAGUCUCACUUUGGGAAAUUGGGGCAGGAGGAUCACCUGCAUCCAGGAGACCAGCCUGGGCAACACAGCAAGACCCAUCUCUACAAAAUAUCAACAAUCAAGCAUGGUGGCAUGCACCUGUAGUCCCAACUACUCGGAGUCUGAGGGAGAAGUCAAGAGCAGAUCCUGGUUGACCUUCUAGCAACAUCAGCCUGGUGGUAGUGAGGAAGAUGAAUGGAUUGAAGAGAUCAGAACCUAGAGUACAAAGUGACUCAGAUAACUGGCAUGGAGAUAGUGCCCAUGUUUAACCUAAAAAUCAUGUUUUGACAAAUAGGCAUGUAAAGAUUUACCAUAUAACUGCAAAAAUUCAUUUAAAUAUCAAAUUGUCCAUUUAUCCUCCCUGGGGUUUUGGGCACACUCAUGGUUUCAUUCAUCUCAGUAUUAAUGCCCUAAUCUUGAUCUUCAAUGUGGACCUUCCUUCUGAACUUCAAACUUGUUUCCACCUGUAAACCAGACAUCACUUCUCUGAUGCUGAAUGUAUUGACUACCCAAAACUCAACAUAUCCAAAGUUGACAUUUUUUCCUUUCCAAGCCAGAAUCUUGGGAACUAAGAUACCCUUUCUUUCAUAUCCAUUUAAUUAGCUAAAUAUAAGUAGGAAUUCUGAACUUUCUACCUAUAGUAAAUUCAAUUUCAGAAUAUAAAAAGGCAAACUGAUAUAUAGUACACUCUUCACAUUCACGAAUUUAACAUUCGUAGUUACUACUAUUUUAAGUAACCCCAAGAGUUUAGAACAUAGCUACAGAAUUUUGCUCAGGCAAGAAUCUGCACCACAUAUCCAAUGAGGUUGUUACAUGUGAGCAAGUCAGUUACCUAGUGACUGAGUCUAGCUCAGCACUUACAAAUAACUAUGGCUUUAUUACUUUAUGCUCAUUAAUGUAUGAAAAAAGGUCCAUAAAGCAAAAAACACUGUUCGUGAAAAAUGGCUUCCAAAAGAAAGCUAACUGAUAGUACUUGGGAUGGAAAGAGAGAUUCAAAGGUCUUUGUAGGCUAGUUACAAGGCUGAGGUUUGGAAACUGGCAGGAUGAAUUUGGCAGUGGAGUAUCAGAUACAAUUGAGCUCACUAUAUGCUUUACAACACAGAAAAAUAGAAGUGGCUUUUAUCAAGUGUUCCAGGCAACACAAAAAUUAAUCAAUGGGAGAAAGCUAAAGCUGGAAAAAGGCAGAGUUUAAAAUAGUGUAAGGAUAGGCAACAGAAUAGCAGAAAAAAAAAAUCCAGAAACUGAUUCUCAGAUCAAUAAACCCCAAAUUUAUAAGCUAACUCAGUGGAGGAGGGACAGUUUUCUCAGUAAUUGGUGGUUGGUCAAUUUAAAAAAAAUCCACCUCUUAUCAUACACAAAUUCUGUAGAUUUAGAUUUUUAAAAAAGCUAAAUAGAGCUUCUAGAAAAACUGCAGUUCAUUACUUUGGGAUAGCCAAAUAUUCCUAAGAGAGAACCAGAACAAGCAUUAAUUAGAAAAGACUAGUAACUUGGACUAAAAAAACCAUUAAUAGAGUGAGAAGACAAACCACAGGCAAACCCGUAAGGAUUAAAACGUAGAAUAUACAAACAAUUCCAAGAUAUUGAUAAGAAAAAGACAACACAAAAGAAACAAACUUGUGCAAAAUUGCUAAAUUAUAGGGCACAUGUAUAUUCAGUUUCAGCUGAUACUACCAAAUCAUAUCUGCUUCAGACCUGAACAGGUAGUUCAUCGAAGAGGAAAUCAACAUGGUCACAUGCAGGUGAAAAGCUGUUCAACCUCACUAAUCAUCAAAGAAAUAGAUAUUCAGAUAAGGCAAUACCACUACAUACCCAUUAGAAUGGCUAAAAUGCAAAGUACUGACCAUAUGAAGUGUUAGCAAGAAUUUGUAAUAAUUAGAAAAAUCAAUUUAGAAAACUGGCAGUAUGUACUAAAGCUGAAAUAUAUAUGUCAACACUGUGAUAACAAAAUUCCACACCUUAAUAUAUAUCCAACAGAUAGAAGUACAGGUGUGUGCCAAAAGAUACAUGCAUGGCUGACUCAGUGGCUCAGAUUGAGGCUAAGGCAAGAGAAUCACUUAAGGCCAGGAGUUUGAGACUAGUCUGGGCAACAUAGUGAGACUUUUCUUUUUUUUUUUUUUUUUGAGACAGAGUUAUGCUGUUGUUACCCAGACUGGAGUGCAAUGGCAUGAUCUUGGCUCACUACAACUCCGCCUCCUGGGUUCAAGCAAUUCUCCUGCCUCAGCCUCCCGAGUAGCUGGGACUAUAGGCGUGCACCACCAUGCCCAGCUAAUAUUUGUAUUUUUAGUAGAGACGGGGUUUCACCUUGCUGACCAGGAUGGUCUCAAUCUCUUGACCUCAUGAACCACCCGCCUCAGCCUCCCAAAGUGCUGGGAUUAUAGGUGUGAGCUACCAGAGACUUUUAUUUUCUACAAAAAAUAAACAAAAUUUGCCAGGCGUAAUGGUAUGUGUUUAUAGUCCCAGCUACUUGGGAGGAUCACUUGAGCCCAGGUGGUCAAGGAUGCACCAAGCUUACACCACUCAACUCCAGCCAGGAUGAUGGAAUGAGACACCAUCUCAAAAACCAAAGAACAUAUAAUGGAUACACAUAUGAAAAUGAGCAAAUCUCAGAAGCCAAAGGGGGCAGCUUCCCAGUUGCUGAUACUGUUCUACUGCUUGACCUAGGUGGUGGUCACACUCACAUAGGUGGUGGUCACACUCACAUAGGUGGUAUUAUUUAUGAUGAUUAGUAUGAUUUUAGCAUACUUCUGAAUGCAUGCAUACUUCACUGAAGGUAUUCCAAGAGACCCCAUUCCAACAGCAAAAAUCCUUAUGAUUUUAGUACUUACCAUAACUCAUCACGUAUGUGAAGGGGCUAAAUUCUUUAAAGUUAUGCUUUAUUUCAGUUUACAUUGUAUUAGGAAAAGAUUAUUAUAGGAGUGCCUGUGUCUUGAGAAGGUCAAGCAUCCACUGUAUUACCACCUCCUUAUUAGGGAAGCAUACAGAACUUUUCAAAUUCUAAGGGAUUGGCCAGGCAUGGUGGCUCACGCCUGUAAUCCUGGCCAACAUGACAAAACUCCAUCUCCACUAAAAAUACAAAAUAAUUAGCCAGGCAUGGUGGUGGGCACUUGGAAGCCCAGCUACUCAGGAGGAUGAGGCAGGAGAAUCGCUUGAACCUGAGAGGCCGAGGUUACAGUGAGCCGAGAUCACACCAUUGCACUCCAGCCUGUGGGCGGGGGACAAGAGCUAAACUCCAUCUCAAAAAAAAUUUCUAAGGGGUCAACAUGAAGACCAGUUAGUGUUUAAAACAAAUUUGACAUGAAAUUAUAGUAUUACAUUCUCCUCAAUAAUCCCAUUUCUACUCAUAUAAAGUUUUCCAUGUAGUUUAAGUUUCAUAAUUUCAUCAUUCUUUUGUAUGCAGAGGCAAAAAUACAGAUAUCCAACAAUUCCCAUCCACGGUUGUCAAAAUUCAGACUUAGUAUUCACAAAUGUAAUCUGUGUUCCGGUCAUGGGAUGAGAAGAAAGUAGCUCCCGUUCCCAACCUCCCCUGUUUGGUUUUCUCUUUUCUUAGUGCUGGAAAUAUAGUCAUAAGCCACCCGGCCUGGCCCCCUCUCUUUGAUUUUCUACUAGGACUCAGGUAGGCUAAUAAAGGUGAGGAAUGCCUAGGGGCUGACUCAAGGAUAAGUAUUUAGAAUCGGCAGAACCAUGUUUUUUGCAGAAGGUACUCGAUAUUCCUUAAUUAAGAGAUUAGGCCUGGCAUGGUGGCUCACACCUAUAAUCCUAGCACUUUGGGAGGCCAAGGUGGGUGGAUCACCUGAUUUCAGGAGUUCGAGACCAGCCUGGCCAACAUAAUGAAACCCUGUCUCUACUAAAAAUACAAAAAUUGCCGGGUAUGGUGGUGGGCACCGGUAAUCGCAGCUACUCGGGAGGGUGAGGCAGGAGAAUCACUUGAACCCAGGAAGUAGAAGUUGCAGUGAGUGACUGCGCUCAAGUGGAUGACAGAGCAAGGCUCUGUCUAAAAAUAAAA